RNAcentral lists this ribosomal RNA (490 nucleotides) under uncultured bacterium. Its description in RNAcentral is "partial 16S ribosomal RNA". It matches the Rfam family "Bacterial small subunit ribosomal RNA", at positions 30 to 507 of the family's 1533-position model. The record is from RNAcentral.
AUUGAACGCUGGCGGCAGGCCUAACACAUGCAAGUCGAACGGUAACAGGAAGAAGCUUGCUUCUUUGCUGACGAGUGGCGGACGGGUGAGUCAUGUCUGGGACACUGCCUGAUGGCGGGGGAUAACUCCUGGAAACGGUAGCUAGUACCGCAUAACUUCGCAAGCCCAAAGAGGGGGACCUUCGGGCCUCUUUCCUUCCGAUGUGCCCUGAUGGGAUUAGCUAGUAGGUGGGGUAACGGCUCACCUAGGCGACGAUCCCUAGCGGGUCUGAGAGGAUGACCAGCCACACUGGAACUGAGACACGGUCCAGACUCCUACGGGAGGCAGCAGUGGGGAAUAUUGCGCAAUGGGCGAAAGCCUGAUGCAGCAAUGCCGCGUGUAUGAAGAAGGCCUUCGGGUUGUAAAGUACUUUCAGCGGGGAGGAAGGGAGGAAAGUGAAUACCUUGGCUAAUUGACGUUACCCGAAGAAGAAGCAACGGCUAACUCCGUG